CCUGGAAUCGUCUAGUGGUUAGGACACCAGGUUCUGACCUCCUUCGCGGCUUGCCUCGGAUGCGCAUUUCCUGGUAACCUGGGUUCAAACCCCAGUUCCAGGU
This is a transfer RNA of Puccinia graminis f. sp. tritici, 103 nucleotides long. It matches the Rfam family "tRNA". From Rfam's summary of the family: Transfer RNA (tRNA) molecules are approximately 80 nucleotides in length. Their secondary structure includes four short double-helical elements and three loops (D, anti-codon, and T loops). Lineage: Eukaryota; Fungi; Basidiomycota; Pucciniomycetes; Pucciniales; Pucciniaceae. The record is from Rfam.